UACGUAGGGGGCGAGCGUUGUCCGGAGUUACUGGGCGUAAAGCGUGCGCAGGCGGUGAUGUAAGACAGAUGUGAAAUCCCCGGGCUCAACCUGGGAACUGCAUUUGUGACUGCAUCGCUGGAGUGCGGCAGAGGGAGGUGGAAUUCCACGUGUAGCAGUGAAAUGGCGUAGAGAUGUGGAGGAACACCGAUGGCGAAGGCAGCCUCCUGGGCCAGCACUGACGCUCAUGCACGAAAGCGUGGGGAGCAAACAGG
Molecule: ribosomal RNA, 254 nt
Filed under: uncultured bacterium
Lineage: Bacteria
Description: partial 16S ribosomal RNA
Rfam family: Bacterial small subunit ribosomal RNA
Source: RNAcentral